RNAcentral lists this long non-coding RNA (18624 nucleotides) under Solanum lycopersicum (tomato). RNAcentral's name for it is "long non-coding RNA (SLYC_LNC001194)". The record is from RNAcentral. Lineage: Eukaryota; Viridiplantae; Streptophyta; Magnoliopsida; Solanales; Solanaceae.
GCAUUGCCACUUGUUUUCUCGCUCUAUAUAUUUUACUCUGUUUUUUCUUGGCAGUUAAUUAAUUAGUGCAUUAUUCUUCUCAUAUACAACUACUACGAUUAUCAAAAAUGACGAGCCAAGUAGCGGAAAACUUCACAAAAUACUUUGAAAAUUGGAUGAUCCAACUUGAAGAGUUGCUGAAACAACUCGUUAUUGUACCUAGGGAGACGUCAUACGUGAAUGAUCACGAGUUAUUGGUGAGUAAAAUGACGACACAUCACAAGAACUACUACACAGCCAAAUGGGCCGCAGCUCAUGAAGACAUCUUAGCAUUUUUCACUCCAAUGUGGCUUAGUCCUUUAGAAAUCGUCUACUCGUGGAUCACAGGGUGGAAGCCUUCCAUGGCGUUUCGAUUAGUGAGUGGCGGUGGAGGAGCGUUUUCGGAUGAGGAAUUGAAGAAUAUUGAUGGUUUGAGGGUGAAAAUUCGCGGAGAGGAAGAGAAAGUGGAGAGGGAAAUGGAGAGGCAACAGGUUGCAAUUGGGGAUAGAAAAAUGGUGGAAUUAGCAAGGAUUAGAAAUGAUAAUGAUGAGUUGGUAGAAUUGGCGUUGAAAGGGUUAAGGAUGAGUUUAGAAAGGGUUAUGAAAAUGGCAGAUUGUGUUAGGCUUAAAACGUUGAAAGGUUUGUUGGAGAUAUUGAGUCCUUUACAGAGUGUUGAUUUCUUGGCUGCUAUUUCUACUAUUCAAAUUCAGAUGAGGAAAAGGGGAAGAAAAAGAAUAAAUGUUGAUUAGCUUAGCUAGUCUCCAGAUUUUAUUUUGUGAUUGUGUCAAUUUCCUUUUAUUGGAACGGCUUUUUUUUUUUAAAUUAGCUUGCUUUGAGUAGACUCUUAUAUUUUGGGAGCAAAUGAAUCAACACUCUGAAGAUAACAAUUCUCUACACUCGAAGAUGCCCAACAUUUGGUAGAAAUCUGCAGUAUUAGUUUAAAUCGGAACUGAAUAUAUUUCUUCAUCCUCUCUAAUAUUAUAAUACAUAGUAACAACUUCGUUUCACUUCGAAAAGUAUUGUUUUCAACAAGUGAUUUUCAGUAUUAAAUAAAAUUCAAAACUAAUCAAUGCACAUAAAUCGAAAUCCAGCAAACUUUAGGGCUUAUAUCGAAGGAAUAAUUUGGAAGAAGCAUAUCUGUUGCGGAUGAGGAGAGAGAGAGAGCUGUAACAAUGGCAGUCUGCAGCAGCAUUAGAAAAAUGUUUGUAAGAAAGCCAUGAGAUUCCGAAAAGGGAUUGAGGAAGAACGGGUUGGGUUUUUGGGCCUGCCUUUUUCUUUCAUUUUCGGAAAAAUCACUUAGUUCAGUAAAUAAUAUAACAAAUAUUUACCCAUUUUAGCAAUAUUUUACUUUUAUUAUUAUUAUUAUUAUUAUUAUUAUGUAUUGCAAUACAUAAUAAUAUUCUGAAUUUAAAGUGAUUUUGUAUGCAAGACACAUGUAUUGUGAAUAUUUUAAAAUAUAUGUCUCAUUGCUAAUUAGAUAUUGACAAAAUAUAUUAUACUUUAUAAGGGUAUUAAAUUAUGUGAUAAAUAUACUACUUAUGAAAAGAAUUGUAUUACAUGUGUUUUAUAAAUUAUUUUGUGUAAUUGUAUUACAUGUGUUUUAUAAAUUAUUUUAUGUAAUAUGUAUAAAAAUCAUAUAGUAAGUGUCCACUAAGAUUGCUACGUAACAAUUUCUUAAGUAGGUAAUAAAAUUCGCUUCGAGAAAAUAAUAAUCAGAAACGGAAAAUUAUAGCAACAAUCGAUUUUAUUAUUUCAAAUGCAAAUGUAACAAUCUCUAUGAUUCCUCUGAAUUCGCCUUUUCAAAUAUAAAUUCGAGCUUGUUCUUGAAUUCGAUGGUCUUGAUCUUGAUCGUUCUUGAACUUGAAUUCUUAAACUUGUAGCUUUGUAGAGAAUUAAAUGACAUUUGUACCAUAAAUUUUCUCUAGCUUCUUGUUUAUAAUUUUCUUUGUCCCCUUUUUAUGAAUUAUGAGACCUCCAUUUAUAGUUUUAGAAUAGAGGAGUUGUCAUUAGAACAGGACUCCCUUCGGCCAAUCAGAUUUAAGUGAAAUAUCAUAUGUGCUUUAUGGAGCGGACUUUAAUUAAAGGGCAACUUUCACAUAUAGCAAACAAUAAAUUCAUAUUUGUAUAUUAUAGUGAAGUUUGCAUAAUUGAGCUCCAUACCAAACAUAUAACUGUAUAAUUCGCUAUACAUAUACAAGUGUAUAAAUCGCUGGUCUAAAUUGCAUAAUUCGCUGGCCUCGCUAUACAUAUACAAUUGUAUGAUUCACUGGCCUAAAUUGUAUGAUUCGCUGGCUUAUUUUGCUGCAAUUGCACAAUGUGCAAUUGUAUAAUUCACUGGCCUAUUCAGCUGCAAUAUGUGUAUAGUAUUUGUUUUGCACACAAUUGAAUCGAAGUAAAAUGUUUGUAUAUUGUAUAAUUAUAAAUGUAUAGGAAGAAGAUAUAUAUGUUUUUCUCUCGCUUUAUACAAAAACAGAAACACAAUUUAUACUUCUGUUGUAUAAAGCGAGAGAAAAUUGUAUUUCACUGCAAUUGUAUGAUUCUCUGGCCUUUCUCGCUGCAAUAUUUGUAUAAAAUUCGCAUUUACAAUUGAAUCGAACUAAAAUGUUUGUAAAUUAUAUAAUUAAGUGUAUAGCACGAAGAUAUAUGUUUUUACAUGUGUAUGUAUAAUUUUUUCUCGCUUUAUACAAAACAGAAAUACAAUUAUACACUUCUAUUGUAUAAAGCGAGAGAGGCGAGCAGAGGGAGAACGGUGAGCGAGAAUGGGAGAGUGGCGAACGAGAGUUUUGGGAGAGAGACGACUAACAAACUUUGGCAAACGUUUCUUAUGGGGCACAAUUAAAUCAAACAGUAGCUACUCCAUUUAUUUUAGAUUAUUAGUUUGCUAUUAUAUACAAUUAUCCCUUGAUUAAAUUUACAUUUAUUUGAAUUUAAAUAAUUAAAUCAAUUAUAUUAAUCUAUGAAAUUUAUUUGAACUAAUAUAUUCAUUAAUUUAAUAUAAUUUGAACAACUUCAUAAUUUAUAUUUAGUAAAUUUUAAUUCACUACAAACACAUCUAUAUAAAUUUUCCAAGAAUAUAACAAAGACAUUUAACUUGACUUUCUCGUAUAAACACUUAUAUAUGUACAAAAUAAAAUUGGUAAUAAUUGAAGUUAUUUAUUAAAUAGCCAUUCAACUCAAUUUGUCCUAAUUGGACGUCAAAUGCGCCUAUGUUUUGUUUCGUUUUUCAAAUAUCAUCCAUCUUCAUUGUACUCAAUUAGUUUAAGCUAAUGACCUCAAUUCUCCAUAGAUGAAUUUGGAGAAGAUGGAAAUCAGAGAAAAGAAGAUAGUAGUAUUUUGUAUUUACUUAAUUAUAUUAUUUUAUAAUAAUAUAACUUCUCCUCGCUUCCCUUAGACCUUAUCACCAGAUAUCCUCCAUUGAAAGUUAAUUUCACCUAAUACAUGUAAUUAUUCUUUGAAUCUAACUUAAAAACAUGUGAUCGGUAGUUAAAUUUAUAUAUAUAUAUAUAUAUAUAUAUAUAUAUAUAUAUUUUAAUAUACGAAUUCAAGUUGUGUUUGACCUAGUUCACACAUCGAAUCACAGGCCACCACGUGUUGGACACAAAUAAGCUUAUAUUUUCCUUAUUCCCUACGUUAACUCUUCAACUUUCUCAAUUUCCAAAUUGCCUCUUCAAACCCCUCAAAGAUCACCAAGACUUACUAAUAAAUUUCAAUUCAUAAUAGCAAGUAAACAAUUGUUGUUUUUAUGUGAUUAAUUUAUACAAAAUAUAUAGGAUAUGCCUAUACUUGGUAAUGCUCAGCUGACAUCCGUAUAAGAACAUAUAUUAUACGCAUUAAUUUUAAAAUAUGUCAUAUGAAUUUUCAUAUAAAAUACGUAUAUGUACUUCAUUAAUUUUAUGUAAAUUCAAAUAUCUAUUUAUGUUUGUCGAACAUUGAUAUCAAGUACCAAGUAAUAUAAUGCCUCUUUCUAUUUUAGAACUUAAAUUGAUACGUUGCCUCCAAGUUCAUUAAUUAGGUGUCUUUUGUACCAUUGCCACUUCUCAGCUCUUGGCUCUAUAUAAUUCAAAUGACAUUCUUCUUCUCCUUUUUUUUUUCAGUGGUAGCAUAUCACUUAUUUCGUCUAAGAAAGAUGACAUGAACUCAAGUUUGGAAAAUACUUAGAUAUCAUGCUUUCUCAAUUUCAGGAUUUGAAGUAAAGAUGCAAAUGAGUUGAUUAUGCAUCGAAUGAUGAAGAUGUUAUUCAAUAAUUGAAGGUAUUGGUGAUAAAAUCUAAUUUUCUCCUUUUGUAUUGUUUAUAAAUUUUCAAUAGGUCUAUAUCAAUUCACAAUUUUAUUCUUAAAUUCUUGGUUAUAAAUUGUUGUCUAUUUAGUCUUGUAUAUGAAUUUGUAUAUGCUAUGAUUCUAGCUCUAGGAAAUUGUAUUUGGAUAAAUGAUUAAUUAUGCAUAUGAUUUUAGAGAGUUAGUACUUGUAUCUUGAGAACUUGUGUGUUUUCAAUAGUUGUCCAACAUUAAUUACUUAUUUGUAUAUCGCUUAUAUUGGUUCAAUAUUGCUUAUUUAUCUAACAUUCAAUUAUAUUUAUAUGUUUUCUUAUUUAUAUCAGUGUAGAAUUAGAUUUUUGUACACAGUCAGGUGUCUUUUUUUUUCUAUUUGUAUAUCUAUUUGGUAUAUAAUUAAUUAUUUGUAUAUCUCAAGCAGUUAUGCAUUUUUAGUCAUUGUCUGAUUUUUGUAUUUGUAUAUCUCUUACAUUUAUCCAAUAUUGCUUAUUUAUCUAACAAAUAAUUGUCUUUAUAUACUUUUGUUUUAUUGAUAUCAAUUAGUGAUUAUUGUUUUCUUUCUUAAUUUUAAUUUCAAGAAAUUCAGAAGCAUAUUUUCAAGGAAGACAUGGGGAUGGUUUACAGGGUUCAUAAUUACUUCUCUUACUACAGGACGCUUACCUAGCCAACUUAUCUGUAUAUGACUUUUUUUUCUAGGUGCUCAUUUUGUCUGGGCUUUUAAUUUACUAUUUCUAUUCAGCGGACGUGGUUAUUGACAAGAAAAUUUUGAACUUCAGGAGACUUAUUUUGGUAAGAAAUACUUGGGAAAAUAUACUUCUUGCAUGCAUACUUUGCAAAAAAAAUUCCAUUUUAAAAUAUAAUUUUAUAAGUAAUUGAUCAAUCAAGUAAUUAAAUGUCAAACUGCAUUAAUUAAGGAGUUGACUGUCAAAUGUAUUUGUAUAACUAAAAGAUCAAAAGCACGAAAUAUAUGCAUUCUGUAGCACAUUGAAUUAUAGUUACGAUUCAUAAUUAGAGAAACAUCAACUAAAAAGCAUGAUUGUAUUGGUCUUAGUUAUUUUUUGAAAUUUCCUUCUUUCACAAAACACUACUACACAAGAAAAUGGGCCGUGGCCCAUGAAAAUAUCUAAGCCUAUCUGUAAUUUUAGAUUCAGGAACAUCUCACGGUCGUAAGUAGGGGUGUACAAAAUUGAACCAAAUCACAAAUCGAGUCAAAUAGGAAAAAAAUUCGAUUAGUGAUUUGAUUUUGUAAAAAAAAAAACCCGACUAUAUUUGGGUUGGGUUGAUUUCAACUAAAAAAAAAUCAAUCCGAGACCAAAUCAACCCGACAUUAUAUAUAUAAUUUUAAAAAUUGUAUUCUAUACGUAAAAAUAUUUACUUUGAUAUAUUUUAAAUAUUUCUUAUAAUUUUUUUUAUAGUUUUUGUCUUUUAAUAUAUUUAUUUUUUGUUUGAAAGUUAAAAUUUUUAAUGAUCCAAUAAAAAUUAUAGUCCAUUUAUGUUGGUAAUUAUAAUAAAUCUUAAUUCAAAUCAAAUUAAUACUAAUGCAAAAUGAGAAAAUCAAUUCAACACUAAGAAUGAAGAAUAAUAUUGAAUAUUUGUUUUUUAGUUUUACAUAGGUUUACACAAUUAAAAUACAUAAUUUAAUUUUUUACUUUCUUUUAAUAUUUAGUCAUGUAACUAAUACUUAUUAAACUUAUUUUAGCAUGAUUUAAUACUUUUAAAUAUGAUUAAUUUCAUAUAUAAUAUGCAGAAAACUGAAUUAGUGCAACGAUCAUAUAUAUAUAUAUAUAUAUAUAUGUAAUUUGUACAAAACUGAACUACUUAAACGAUCAAACAUAUAUAAUUUGCAGAAAACAGAACUCUUAACGAUCAUACAUGUGUAAUUUGCACAAAACUCAACUACUUUACUUUAAUCCUAUUUUUUUGUUGAAUAGAAAAUGCCUCCCCUUCAGGAAACUCUCAUCUGUGAGUCUUUACUUUGUUUGAGUAGAUUUCCCUUUUUUUGGUGUUUAUUUGAGGUUUAGGCCAUAUGUCCCCUCUCUUGUUAGUGAUCUUAGUAAUAAAUAAAUUUAAAAAAAGCAACAAAACCCUAACUCUAAUUGAAUGCUUAAUUUGUCCAUCCAUAGAAGGAUUAUAAAUCUUAUCAAGACAAACUACUUUAACGAUCACACAUAUAUAAUUUGCAGAAAACUCAAGUACUCACGUAUGUAAUAAUUGGCAGAAAACUCAACUACUCUAACGAUCACAGAUAUAUAAUUUGUACUACAAAUUAAUAUUCAACAACUUUAUUAAUGAUCACACACACGUUUUGCAGAAAUUAAAGAAAACUUAACUAGGAACUCUAAUUGACGGAGUCUUAUUCGUUGGUACGUCGAUGAUCCCUCUUCUGGCCCCAUAUUUUGUAACAAUGCUUAAGCCUCUUGGCAGCGGCUAAGUAUUCCACAGCUUGAAGCGGUUUAAGUAUGUUCAGUACAAUUUCCUUCAAUGUUUUCAUCCUCAACUCAUCAGCGUCUCUUAAUACAUCAGCCAUAUAUCGGCUAUGUUCAUCUAAAACAUCAUCUGCAUUCUCACAAUCAUUCUCCAUUUUACCAGCGAAAGGCUGAUCCACAGCGUCCUCUUGCAAGCUAGCCAAUUUUGAAGAAAGGUUAGUCUCUUCUCUAAUCGUCUUAGCUUGUAAAGCGUCAAUCAUUUUCAUUUGUUUAUUCGUCAGCUCACUGAGGACACCGACCUUUUUCCCUUGUAGAAACUCAGUGAGAUGAGACUCGAUGUCCAUGCCACAUAGCGCGUACGCGAACCGUAUGAGAGAAGAUGGUCUACAGCCAGCGAUCCAUAGGAUUGAAUUCUCCAACGAGGUGCAUGAAGUUGGCGCCAAGAGUGGUGAUACGUCGAUACGGGCUAGACGGCUACGGUUGUUAGCAUAAUCUUGAAAAUUUUCUACGGUUUUUUCGAUUAGUUGAGUGAGUUCAUUUUCAUUUUUUAGGCCGUUUUUGGCUUGAACUGCAGCUUGUUCAAGCUCUAUUACUUCUUUACGUUGCAAAAUCAUCCAUGUCUCGUAUACGCAUUCUUGCUCCGUUGGACUAUCACUAGAAGUACUACUGGCCAUUUUAUGUUACCUAGUUGGAUUUAUUCAUAUGUAAAUACAUAUAUACAAGCUAAAUUAUAUAUAGUCCUAUUUACAUGACAAAACCACAGGAAAAAUAAAAUAUUUCAGAUUUUAUCAUUUUAUUGUUUGUCCACAUGCAGCACUAGAUAGAGUUUCGUCCUCAUCUAUGAGUACAAUAUAACCUUGCGUUGGGACUUCGUAUAGUAUUUUAACUCUCCGUUCAUUUUCAUUUGUCAUUUCAUGUUUUUCAAAAUUAAUGUAAUUAAUUUUUAAAAUUAAAUUAUAUUAUAUUAAUUCGAUAUUUUAAAUAAAAAUUUAAAUAUUUAAAAAUUACAUGAAAAAUAUUAUAAAUUAUUUUUUUUAUAUUAAUAUAAUAAAAAAAUACAUUAUUAAUAAAAAGUAUUAUAGAUUGACUCUAGAGGUAGAAAUUAUGACAAAUAAUAAUGGACGGAGGGAGUAUAUAUUUGCAGAUAGAAUACAACUUCCUUUGCGUCCUCAUCCUGCUUUAAUUUGUCGUGAUAUAAUCCUACGCCUAUGACAAAAUUGUAGUAUAUAUUAAUCAACCUAAUUAAUAAUCGAGUGGAAUGUUUCCGAUAUGUUUUAAUUAAUUUUCUCCUGCUUCUGUUUCAGCCCAAAAUUUAUUGUUUCGUACCUAUCGGCACUACAUUCAAUGUUGGACACUGAAAAUAUUACAUGACAUCUUUUGGGACCCAGUGAUAACCGCGACAAAUAGACGAUCUCAAUUAGAUUAUCCAACACUAUUUCAUUUCAUACUCUAUAUAUUAUUUUAUUUGUUUGGGAAGUAAAAACUAGAUUGAAUCAUCAUAUAUGUAAUAAUGUAAAUGUCAGUUAUUUUAUUCAUUCUACUAAUGCAGAUGGUAUUUCGAAUUUUGUUAAAAUCUGAGAUGGUAAUCGAAUAAAAAAUAAGUGACGUUUUUGUAAUUUAUAUAAUCUUUAACUCGUGUAAUUACUAAUGUCAUAAAUCAUAAUCUACUAGUACUAAUUAUUCACUGAUGCAUUUUCUACCCUAUUAUUAACCUUUUAUUGUACGUUAUUUAAGACUUAUAAAUAAUGGCAUUUUUUUUCUUUUUUUCUUUUGUGUUGGAGUUUUGAGGAGUACGAGACGAAAUAUUGCAUGAAAAAAGUGAGGUUGGCAUAAAGUUGAGAAAACAGAUAAAUUCUGAGUCCCCGUAUAAAAGAGAGCAACUCGGAAAAAAAGUGUUUUUAUGAGUGAAGUUUAAGGCUUUUUAAUUAGUAUUUGAGUUACUAUUGGUAAACUUUUAAAAUUUGAAAAAGGAUAGAUCGAGAGUUAUAUUGUUAGAUUGGUAAAAAUUAUAUGUGAUAGGAUAAAAUUUAAAUUUCCUUAAGAAAGCAAAUUAGUAGUGUCUUAAUUUGGAUAUUUGUUAUAUUAUUUUUCAAUUAUAUUUAAUGAUAUUUAAUCAAUAUGUGUCAAAACAUUUGCUUAUAAUAAAAUUUAAAAAUUAAAUUACUUUUAAAUUUGGUAAGAGAUGGAGUAUUAUUUUUCAAAUAACUAAAUGAAUUGGAUUAGAUAUACUGGCACGGCAACUGACCUGCACUUGCACUGUAAUAUACAUUGGUGCCCGCGCCACCGUCUAAAAUAAAAUUUUAUAUAUAGUAACUUGUGAAUUUCAUAAUAAAUGACAUAAUAUAUAAAGAUAACCCUUACUUUAAUUUAAUUGAUGACUAUAAUUUUUAACUAUGGGCGUACACAAGUAAACACUUAAACUUGUAUAAAAUUGAGCAACUGAAUCCCACAUGACAACUUACAUGACAAUAUCUUACAUGCAUUAUGUCAUGUAGGACACUUGAGUCUACUUGUACAAUUUUUAUAAUAGUUUAAGUAUCUCUUGCGCACAUUCACAGUUAAAGAGCAUAAUUAUUCGUUAACACCGAAUUAAGAGUCAUGUUUAUAUAUUCUGCAUGAUAAAAUUGAUUUACAACUUAGUGCUAAGAAAGGGAAAGUGAAUAAAUCUUUUAUACUAGUAUUGUGCAUUCAGAUCUACUUUGUUUUUAAAGAAACAUUUUUACAAUAUUUUUCUCCUUCAUCUUAAAAUUUAAAAUCUCUAAGCUUUUAAUUUUAACUCCAAACUUAAAAUACUAGUUAGUUCCUGUUUUAUGCACCUGAAUGUUCUCUCAAACUUAUCUCUAGCAAGCAUACUGGCAUAGCGGUUGUAGCGGUAGAAGUGAAACAUAUACUAGUGUAUUCGCUAAACGAUGAAUGAUUAAACCAAUCUAACCAACAAAGUGACGACAUUGGAUCAAGAUGCAUUGGGGGUUAAAAUAAGAGUCCACAGCUUAAAAAGGAAAAAAAAAAUUGACAAAAGUUUUAAAAAAAUAUAUUAAUUUUUUUAAUUAAAUAGGUAAAAUCGUUAUUGAUAUAGUGAUUUAUUUUGACGUCGUUAACAUAUCUUGCUCUAUCAGAUAAAUAGAUAGAACUUAGAAUAAACAAAUAGUUUGGUGCACUUAAUUACAUAGUACUACUAAUUAACUCCACUAAAAUCGUUGCCUGGUAGCGAUAUUUUAAGAACAACAUUUUUUUUAAAAAAAAAAUAUUAACGAAAAUCGCUGUCAAGACAAUGAUUUUUAACUAAAAAUAAAUUUAAAAGAGAUUGGACAAAAUUACUGAUAGAACGGUAAUUUUAAUCUGUUAACGAUGUUAAAAAAAUAUAAUUUGGAGGCUCUGAAAAUUCUAUAAUUAUUGUAAUUUGAUAAACUUUCGAAAGAGGAUAGCGCCAAAUUGUAUGGGUUUCUAUACUUUAUACUAUAUAAUUUGUACAAUCCAUCAAAAAUUUCAUGAGUUACGCCCAUGAUAAUCUGAAUUGAGAUUGACUCAAGAUAAUUUGAGUCGAAUUAAUCUCAACCUAUUUAAAUUUUAAUUUAUUUUAAAAGAAUAUUUAAUUGAGUGCAAUUUAAUUUUAAAUUUUAACAUGUCUUAAGCUUGUUUAUUUACAUUGAUGUAAUAUACAUUCUGAUAUUACUAUAUCAAAAAUGAUCAUAAGCGGUAAUUAAUGCUAAAUAUUUAUUUUUAGCAACAAUUAACACUCGUAGUAUAUGUCCUUAAAGCCUUUAAUGACAUUGGUUCUAAUGACACUUUACUGAUGUCGAUAAAGAUUUUGACACUCUUUAUUAAUAUUAAUAUUUAAUACAGGUAAAAGUCGUUUUUAUUAUACUGUAUUGAAAAUAUGAAUUGUUAUAUAUUUUAUAUCUUCUACAAUUUUAUAUUUUUUAUUUUUUUAAAAAAAAAUUCUUAAAUUGAAAUUCAAAUUAUGAUUAUGAAAGUUAAUAAAUACGUUAAAAUUAUUGAGUUCAUGAUUCAAUUCGAUUUUAGCUAAUUUAAGUUCAGUCUAAAUUUGAACAGGUUAUGAUUAGUCACUCUAAUUUUUAUUUCAACUAAUUUUUAUAUUUAUAAUCUCAAUUCAAUCAGCUCAUUUAACGGCCUAAGAUGGAUGCAUGCAACCUGAAACUACCAAACAAACUAAACAAGUUGCAAGUAGAUUCUAUAAGAUUAUUGAGACUUCAAACAAAGUGAAAAAGUUGUACGUAUUUACUUAUGGACACAACGUUCAACCUCUAAGUACAGUCCUUGGAACCCUAAAUGUUGGAAUCAUUUUGCUCGUCGGUUUCUAGAGGCGGCUAUCUCUAUAAGUUGUAACCAACGAUGGAGAAUGAUUUCAAAAUAUUUUGAUACAUAUUUAAUUUUAAAAGAAAAUACUCAAUACUAAUUUGGAGUGGAUUUUUUGAACUUUGAUAUAAUUUUUUGGUUAUAGUUUUUCAAUAGUAUCGAGCCUAACUACUUUAGUUCGAUAAGAUUUGAUAUAUAUUCAACUUGUGUGUCAUCCAUGCUAAGAGAGAUUCACCAUAAUGCCCAAAAAUAUUCAACUUGUAAGGCGGAUUCGUGUCACAAUAUUGACUAAUGAAUAGUAAUGGUGAGUUUGUUUUGAUUGCGUUUUAUUAUAUUUAUUCGAUGUUUUAAAGUAAAAUUUUAAAUAUUUAAAAAUUAUAUAAAAAGUGAUAUAAAUUAUAAUUACUUAUAUAUCAAUAGGAUAAAAAUAUUAAUUAAAAUUUUUAUUGUAUGACUAAAAAAGAAUGACUACUAAAAAACGAAAAAAAAGAUUAAAUAAAUGCUCAUUCGGUGUAUUGAAGUGGUUAUAUACUUAUAUCCUAAAAUCAAAAUCCAAAGUUCGAUUUAAUACGAUAUUUCGAUAUUUAUGUCUAUUCCUUCCAAAAUCCAGUAAGCACGUCAAUUUUUUCAUUGCAUAAUUACCAAUUUUUUCAUGCUACUGUAAAAUUAUACUUUUUUCGUCAACUUUUAAUUGUAUAAUUUUUUUGUUAAAUUAUAAAAAAAUUGAUUAAUAUUUUAAUGUAAUUUUUGCAUCAUAUUGUAUAAAAAAAAUUACAUUUUAUAGUACUUUUUUGUUAAUAGUUUUUAAAUAUCUGAAAUUUUUGUUAAAAACAUCAAAUUAAUAUAAUCUAAUUUUAACUUUAAAAAUUAAUUGAAUUAACUCAUAGCAAACAAAAAUGAACCGAGGUAACAUUUUUUUUUUUUUGCUUUUUUAUCUUUUGCAAAAGCCUAAAAUUAAGGCCAAUCUCCGGCAACCCAAAAUCUCCAUUCAUUUUAUCCAGCCAUUCUCCUUCUUCCGCCACACCGGAGCACAAACCAUGAAGUGAAUAAGCUUCCACCUCGCAAAACCCAUCAAAUAUCCGACUUAUCGAAACCUUCAAGCUGAACUUGAGCAACCAUUGAUGAGGCUGUGAAGUUCCAUAAGGAGAAUAUCAAAGUAUACUCUUGAGAUUGUAUUGUAGAAGAUGAUUGAUUGACUGCAUUGAUCACCCAAGAGGUGUAUAUAUACAUGUGAGAUUGUCAAUCUAGUGGAGAAAGAAAAGAGUAACUAACAACUUAACAAUCUAACAAACUAACAAACUAAUUAGUUACAUAACUAACUAUGACACCACUAACUAUAAAAUGGAAAGUAACUAACUAACUAACUACUUGAAGUAAUGUACAUGUUUAAUUAUGAAUGUUAAUACCCCUCCUCAAGUUGGAGGUGAUGAUUUCGCAGCCAACUUGCGCAAAAUGGCUGAAUGCUUGAUGCCAGUGAGGGCCUUAGUAAGAAUGUCAGCAAGUUGAUUAGAGGUAGACACAUGAUGCAAAGAAAUCAACCCCUCCUGAAGCUUAUUACGUACGAAAUGACAAUCCACUUCAAUGUGUUUAGUUCUCUCAUGAAACACAGGAUUGCGAGCAAUAUGGAUUGCAGAUUGACUGUCACAGUAGACACUAAUAGGAGAGGAAAUGGAGACAGUUAGCUCAGUGAUCAAUCUGUGAAGCCAAGUUAAUUCUCCUACAACUUUUCUGAGUGACCUAUACUCUGCUUCUGCUGAAGAUAGUGAAACUGUCUCUUGUUUCUUAGAUUUCCAGCUAAUAGGACUGUUACCAAGCAACACCAAGUACCCACUGAUUGACUUCCUUGAAUCUGGACAUGAUGCCCAAUUUGAAUCACAAAAUGCUUGGACUGUACAAUCAGGAUUCUUGGAUAACUGAACUCCUAAAGUAGUAUCUUGUUUGAGGUAUCUAAGUAGAUGAUAAGCUGCUUGUAAGUGUGGAGCUCGUGGAUCCUGCAUGAAUUGGCUUAAAUGUUGAACACUAAAAGCUAUGUCCAAUCUAGUAUUAGUCAAGAAAUUCAACUUUCCUAUCAAUUUUCUGUAGAAAGUGGGAUCAGGUAAAGGAACUCCUUCCUUGGCUUUCAACUUCACAGUGGGAUCCAAAGGAGAUGAUAGAGGUGUAUAGUUGAAACAAUCAUAUUCUUUGAGUAAGUCUAGAGUAAAUUUCCUCUGAGAAAUCAGUACUCCAUCUGUUGUAUCAAGAAUCUCCAGGCCCAGAAAAUAGUGAAGUCUUCCAAGAUCUUUGAUCUUAAAGGUGUUGUCUAAAUAUACUUUGAGCUGUGCAAUCUCAGUUGUGUCUGUCCCUGUUAAAAUAACAUCAUCUACAUAUACUGCAACAAAUACAACCAAAGAACCUUCCUUUCUGUAAAACAAAGAAUGAUCAAAUUGUGAAUGUGAGUAGCCUCUAGAUGAUAAUGCCUCAGUUAGCUUAGAAUACCACUGCCUACUUGCUUGUUUGAGGCCAUAAAGAGACUUUUUCAGCUUACAAACUAGCUCUGAAUUAGGUACUUCAAGUCCUGGAGGUAAUUUCAUGUAAACCUCUUCAUGAAGAUCUCCAUGAAGGAAUGCAUUAUUUACAUCAAGUUGAAACAUACUCCAACCCUUCUUUACUGCACAUGCUAUCAAAGUUCUCACUGUGGUCAUCUUGACUACAGGUGAAUAAGUUUCAGUGUAAUCAAUUCCAGCCUGUUGUGUAUACCCCUUCACAACCAAUCGUGCCUUGAACCUUUCUAUGCUCCCAUCUGCUUUGUGUUUUACUUUGUAUACCCACCUACAUCCAACUGCUUGUUUGUUUGGUGGUAAAGUAACAAGAUCCCAAGUGUCAUUAUCAUACAGUGCUUCAAACUCUUAUAUCAUGGCCUUUUGCCAUACAGGAUUCAGUGAUGCUUCCUCAUAUGAUGAUGGCUCACUAUCAUGACAAAUGUUCUCAACAGGUGACUGACUAGUAGAUGCAAUGACUUCAGGAGAUAUAUGGUGGUGUUUGGUAAACAAUGCAGUAAGGGAUAGAUUAUUGUUGAUCUCUGUGUUUUGUGUGUUGGAAUUGACUGAUUUUAGUUUUGGGAUAUUGAUAACAUAAUCUUUCAAAUGUGAUGGUAUUUCGUUUUCUCUAUGAGAUCUUCUCUGUACUAUUGUGGGAGGAUUGCGUUGGGAUGAUGUUGAAGAGGUAAUGAGAGCACUGGAAGAUAUACUGGGAUUUUGAGUAAUGUGAGAAGAUAUAUGAGGAGGAGUUGUAUCAGUCACAUUGUCACAAUCAUUUACACAGCCUUUAUAUGAAUCUAAAUCAGCAUAAUCAGAGGAUGAAAAAGACUUUAAAACAGAAGGAAAAGAAGGAUUUUCAAGUGACAAAGCAAAAGGAAAAACAUGUUCAUGGAAAAUCACAUCUCUGGAGAUAUGUAUCUUCUUUGUAGCCAGACUCAUCACCUUAUAACCUUUGGUUCCAAAAAUAUAUCCUAAGAAAAUGUGUGGUGUGGUUUUUGGUUCAAACUUGUCUCUAAGUACCUUUGGAAUAGUGGGGUAACAAAGACAACCAAAGGAUCUAAGCUGACUAUAGUUUGGUUUCUUAUUGUAUAACACUUCAUAUGGACACUUAUUUUUCAAAUAACUUGAUGGAAGUCUGUUAAUAAGAUGCGUAGCUGUUAACACACACUCUCCCCAGUAUCUUAUAGGCAGUUUAGAUUGAAAUAGAAGUGCUCUAGCUGUUUCCAACAAGUAUUUAUGUUUUCUUUCCACUAUACUGUUUUGUUGAGGUGUGUAAGGACAAGUUUUCUGGUGGAUAAUCCCUUUGGACAGAAGAAAUUGGUGUGUUUCAUUAUUAACAAACUCUAGUCCAUUAUCUGUUCUAAUGCUUUUCACUGUGGUAUUAAACUGAUUCUCCACCAUGACUGUAAAAUUCUUUAAAACUUGUAAUGCAUUACUCUUGGUACUUAAAAGUUGUGUCCAAGUUGAUCUACUAUAAUCAUCCACCAAUGUAAUGAAGUAUUUGUAGUUGUCAUAUGUAGGUGCAUGAUAAGGUCCCCAUAAGUCAAUGUGUAGUAACUCAAAAAUGGAUUUGGUUUGGCUGUUACUAUGGUUAAAAGGUAGCCUUUGUUGUCUUGACAUUGGACAAAUGUUGCAGGAAAAAGGUUGUUUGGGAGAGAAAACAGCUGGUAAGUCAGUAAUACUUUUCAUCUUAGUUAAAGGUACAUGGCCAAGUCUAUUGUGCCAUAACAAAUCUACAUUAUCUCCUCCAAUACUACAAGAGUUGUGAUCAUCCAGAACAUUCAUAUUAUUAGGAGAAAGUUUACACUUAAGAGGAACAGAAUUAGAAACCAACACUUUGAAUUGAUCUGGAAAACAAGGACUAGCAGAAAAAGAAUUACAUGUAUCAUUCUUAAUGGAACUAGACAAAGGUUUAUUAUUGGAAAAACAACAGCAUAUCUGACAUGUAUUGACUUUAUUAGAAGCCUUCAAACACUUUGUGCACAAGAAGUAAAGCCCAUCUUUACAAUUACCAAGAACCUGAGGCCUCUUCACUAAAGGGGCCUGCAAUAGACACAAUGCAUUAGUGAACAAGACUAUGCACUUCAUUGUAGCAGUUAGGGAUUGAACUGAAACUAGAUUAUACUUAAAAGAAGGCACAUGUAAAACUUGAUGUAAAAUGAUGCUAGGUGUGACUGGUACUUCCCCAAACUCUGUUACUUUGACUUUGUAUCCAUUUGGAAGAGAAACAAGUAUAGGAAAAGGUAAGGUUUUAAUGUUCCUUAGAGAGUUUCUACUAAAGGUUAUAUGGUUUGAAGCUCCUGAGUCAAUGAUCCACAAAUUAGCACUUGAUUCGAAACAUUUGCAAGAUGGAUUGUCAACAACAGUAGAGGAAGAACAAAACACAGUACCUGCAAAGUUCAUUGAUCCAGCAGCCACACCAGAAGUAUUGUUAGCCCCAGUCUCUUCUCCCAUAUUCCCAUUUUGGAAAUGUUGCAAUAAAUUCAUGAUCUGUCCAUAUUGUUCUCUUGUGAAGUUAACAUUCCUUGAGUUGUCACCUUGAGAUUGUGAUUGUUUCUCUCCAUUACCAGACACCACAUCACCUGUAGUACCAUGUACAUUUGCUACCACUCUUCUUCCUUUGUAAUUUGAGCCUUGCUGUCUAGAACUCUGACCACCACUGUAAUUUCCUGAUCUAUUAUUUUGAUUAUUGUUGCUUUGGGGAUACCCAUGCAGCUUGUAGCAUUUAUCUUUGAUGUGCCCAGUCCUCUUACAGUAGUCACAUACUAUGACAUUCCUGUUGUUUGGAUAAGAACUCCCUCCUGAGUUACUGUUAGUAUCACUAUGAUUUCCAUAGCCAUUUGCAUAGUUAUUCCCUUGAAAAUUUGUUCUAAAAGGUCUUCCUCCAUGGCCUUUGUUAUCAACAGCUUUAACAUUCAGGGAAACAGAAUCUGUUCUACCAACAGGCUUGAGCUCUCUUUGCUUUUCCUCUUGAAUUAGUAAUGAGAAAGCCUGCCCCAUGGAUGGAAGAGGAUUCAUCAUGAGAAUGUUUCCUCUUAUCACUGUGUACACUUCAUUUAAUCCCAUAAGAAAAUGAAUUAACCGCCUAUCUUGCUCAGCCUUGUACAUACCAUCUUUCGCACCACAUACACACACACAGCUACAAUGGUUCUUCACAUUCAAAGUGUUUAAGUCUUCCCACAACUUCUUCAUUCUUGUGUAGUAGACAGUGAUGUCCAAAACUCCUUGUGUGAGAUUAUUGAUCUCCUUUUGGAUUUGAUACAAUUUUGCUCCAUUGGUUUGAUCAUACCUAUCUUCCAACUCCUUCCAUAACUCAGCAGAAUUGGUAACAUAUUCCACACUAUCUGAAAUUUCUUUGAUUAAAGAGUUUAGUAUCCAAGAUGUCACCAUAUCAUCACAUCUUUGCCAUUGACGUAAUUGAGAUGGAUUGUUGUUUGGUUUCUCACAACUUCCAUCAAUGAAACCCAACUUAUUUUUCACUGACAAGGCCCUCAUUACACCUCUUCUCCAAGACCUAUAUCCUGUUCCAUCAAAUUGGACAGGAACAAGCAUCAUCCCUGGAUUAUCCGAGGGAUGUAAAUACAGAACACCAUUUGUAUCGUUUCCAGAUGUGACAGAUCCUUCAGAUGUGAAUGCCACAGCUUCAACAGCCAUCACAACUAAGCUGUUCGAUGAGCAAAAGAAGAAGAGAAACAGAGAUGCAAACGAAGAUGAACAGAGAUGAAAAAUCUCUGCAAAACAAAUGUAAUCAACAGAGUAACUUCAGGAUCUACUAUCGAUUGCUAAGACACGUAGCUAAACCAAAGAGAAGAGAGCAAUUCACUGCGCUCUGAUACCAUAUCGAAACCUUCAAGCUGAACUUGAGCAGCCAUUGAUGAGGCUGUGAAGUUCCAUAAGGAGAAUAUCAAAGUAUACUCUUGAGAUUGUAUUGUAGAAGAUGAUUGAUUGAUUGCAUUGAUCACCCAAGAGGUGUAUAUAUACAUGUGAGAUUGUCAAUCUAGUGGAGAAAGAAAAGAGUAACUAACAACUUAACAAUCUAACAAACUAACAAACUAAUUAGUUACAUAACUAACAAACUAAUUAGUUACAUAACUAACUAUGACACCACUAACUAUAAAAUGGAAAGUAACUAACCAUUACGAACCAACACUGCUGCAACCAGCAACUCCAACCAAACAUAAAAACAGCAAUCAAAUGUUCCCCAAAACUCCAUUAAAAUAGACCCAACAACCACAAAAAACCUAAACCAAGAAGUCAGCCAUCAACAAACCUUUAAGCUCCAUCAAACAAUGAGCUCAAAGCUCUAAAAAUCAGCAGUAGGAAUUAAUUUUGAUUCUUGUAUAUAAUUAAAAUUAAAAUUAAUUUUGAUUCUUCAAUAUAAAUUAAAAUUAAUUUUGAAUUUUUUAGUUCUAAAAUCGACAUGUAAAGUAUUUAACUAGUUGGCAGUCACUCACUGAAAGUUGAAUUUCAAAAUUAAAAUUUGAAGUCAACUUUAGGAUGAAAUAUAUAUAUUAUGUCAUUAAUUAAUGCAUCAUUUUUCUCAUUUACGACUACUACUAUUAUCAAAAAUGACGAGCCAAGUAGCGGAACACUUCACAAAAUACUUCGAAAAUCGGAUGAUUCAACUUGAAGAGUUACUGAAACAACUCGUUAUUGUACCUAGGGAAACGUCAUACGUGAGUUAUUGGUGAUUAAAAUGACGACACAUCACAAGAACUACUACACAGCCAAAUGGGCCGCAGCUCAUGAAGACAUCUUAGCAUUUUUCACUCCAAUGUGGCUUAGUCCUUUAGAAAUUGUCUACUCGUGGAUCACAGGGUGGAAGCCUUCCAUGGCGUUUCGAUUAGUCAGUGGCGUUGGAGGAGCGUUUUCUGAUGAGGAAUUGAAGAAUAUUGAUGGUUUGAGGGUGAAAAUUCGUGGAGAGGGAAAUGGAGAGGCAACAGGUUGCAAUUGGGGAUAGAAAAAUGGUGGAAUUAGCAAGGAUUAGAAAUGAUAAUGAUGAGUUGGUAGAAUUGGCUUUGGAAGGGUAAAGGAUGAGUUUAGAAAGGGUUAUGAAAAUGGCAGAUUGUGUUAGGC